GGUUGGUCCGAGUGCAGUGGUGUUUAUAACUAAUUGAUCACAACCAGUUACAGAUUCCUUUGUUCCUUCUCCACUCCCACUGCUUCACUUGACCAGCCUUUA
This 102-nucleotide Y RNA is filed under the name Propithecus coquereli (Coquerel's sifaka). Its description in RNAcentral is "Y RNA (ENSPCOG00000007077.1)". It matches the Rfam family "Y RNA". Rfam says of the family: Y RNAs are components of the Ro ribonucleoprotein particle (Ro RNP), in association with Ro60 and La proteins. The Y RNAs and Ro60 and La proteins are well conserved, but the function of the Ro RNP is not known. In humans the RNA component can be one of four small RNAs -- hY1, hY3, hY4 and hY5. The record is from Rfam by way of RNAcentral. Lineage: Eukaryota; Metazoa; Chordata; Mammalia; Primates; Indriidae.